CAAAGGGCACAAAAUCUGCCGCCAGAAACAAAAAGGGGCAAAAAAAAAAAAAAAACGAACAAGAGAAGGAAGAAGAAGAAAGUGCCAUGGGCGAUCUACUCUCAUGGCUAUUCUCCUUCUUCCUUCUCGUAGCUGUUCUUGGUACUAUCCUAUACCAGCUCAUGUGCUUGGCAGAUCUUGAAUAUGAUUAUGUCAACCCUUAUGAUUCAGCAUCUCGGAUUAAUAGAGUAGUGGUGCCAGAAUUUGCUCUUCAAGGAGCAUUGUGCUUCCUACAUCUUGUGACAGGGCAUUGGUUGAUGUUUCUGAUAUGUCUGCCAUACUUAUAUUAUAACAUUAAAGUCUAUACUGAUCGCUGCCACUUGGUGGAUGUAACUGAGAUUUUCAAUCAGCUUCCGUGGGAUAAGAAGGUUCGGUUGUAUAAGCUUGGAUACCUUGUGAUACUUCUUGCCUUUUCGAUAUUCUGGAUGGUUUGGAGCAUUGUGGAUGAUGAAGUAUGAGGAAUUGCCCCUUUCAUGAAAGCACCAGUCCGCAGGAAUCUUCUACAGACAGUCUCGAUCAGAUGAAUAUUCUUCUCAGGCAGAACGGAAAUUUGGGAACAAAGUUUAUUUGAUCGAAUGAAGAAAUUGGGAUUUCCCAGGCACUAGCACGGUGGAGCUGGCCUGUUGACAUCUAUCAGUUUACUCAGUUGAUGGUGCCAUAAACAGAUUGUCGUUGAUGGCUUUACGGAAUUAAUCUUAUCUAAAGGAAGUGUUGGAAGUCCUCAACUGACUGGGAAGCAUACACUUUCUGAUGCUUGAGUUGCAUCUCUUUUUUUCUUUCUUUCUUUCUUUUUGUUAGGUUUAACUUUAUGAUGCCCUUUAAGCAUGCAAUGUUUUGGGCAAUAGGCAUAUAGUUGAACUUGUAUAAAUCAGGAUAGUCAUUGCGAUUUUAUAUAUCAUAAUGUGUUAGCAUAUGAUUUACUGAAUGUACUAGUUUCCAGUGUAAAUCAAUUUUUAGUAGAAUGACUUGCCUCUGGGGUACUAUG
RNA transcript from Solanum pennellii, 1024 nucleotides. It is a transcript of the gene named protein cornichon homolog 4-like, with no coding region annotated. Lineage: Eukaryota; Viridiplantae; Streptophyta; Magnoliopsida; Solanales; Solanaceae. The record is from RefSeq and is a predicted model, not a curated record. The transcript has 6 exons.